UACGUAGGGGGCAAGCGUUGUCCGGAUUUAUUGGGCGUAAAGAGCGUGUAGGCGGCCAUACAGGUCAGCUGUGAAAACUCGAGGCUCAACCUCGAGACGUCGGUUGAAACCGUAUGGCUAGAGUCCGGAAGAGGAGAGUGGAAUUCCCGGUGUAGCGGUGAAAUGCGCAGAUAUCGGGAAGAACACCCGUGGCGAAGGCGGCUCUCUGGGACGGUACUGACGCGUGAGACGCGAAAAGCGUGGGGAGCGAACGAGG
Molecule: ribosomal RNA, 256 nt
Filed under: uncultured bacterium
Lineage: Bacteria
Description: partial 16S ribosomal RNA
Rfam family: Bacterial small subunit ribosomal RNA
Source: RNAcentral